ACAAAUCCAAAUUCAGUGUUAACAACAACCACUUAUAUAUAUUUGGACGUACAUAGAAAUUAGAUAUUUCUUAAUUGUUUGCAUAACAGAAAACAUACUGGCUGCAAUAGAAUGAAAGACUAACCUAUUGAUGAGCACAACAGUACAUACCAUCCCAUCAUGAGGUUGCCAUCUCUCACACUUGAUAAUUACAUCUUGUUAUUUCUAACAUGUACACCAUCGGGCGAUUGCUUUAUUAGAAAUAUAUUUACACAAUAUGAUCAGAGCAACAUCAAGGAGCCGGAUGCUGGUGCACAAAUUCUCCUCAAAUUCCACAUGCAACCAUUGUAGAGAAGAACGACAUAUUUUUCUUAGGUGACUUUUGAUCGAGCUCCUACAGAAAAGUUCAAAGAAAUCAUGAGGAGCAUGGAGCCAAGCAAACUAAUCAGAGUAAAUCAUGAGAGGAGAAGCCUCUCAACCUACUACAGGGAAUCAAGUCAACAUUAAUUUGUGUAAGAAUUAAACCGUAAUGUAGAUCAACAGAACCUGCUGACAUCACAAAACAAAUGUUUCGUCAACAGAAACUCCAGCGAAUGCCAAUUGGAUUAUAUAAGUAAGAUAGAGACAUCGAAAAAAAGAAAAGAUAAUUCUAAGAGUAUAUAUUCUAUUUUCUUACUUGACAUCACAGAGAAUGCAAGUCAAAGAAAUUGUGAUACAUCUUACCCUUCUAUAAAUUGACUGCAAGGCACAAUCCCCAGCAAAAUAUACAGAAUGAAUUGCUCCUAUGGUCCAAGUAUUGCAUAAAUAGUUAUAUACAUAAUAUUCAACAGUGAGCAUAAACAUGGCAUGUACUAACAAAAUCCUUUUGCUAUGGAGCUUAGUCUGCAUGUCUAUUCGUCUUUCUGUAUACUCUCCUAAAAGAAAAAAAUUAUUUCAAAUAAAUAAAUGAAAUAAUUGUCUGCAGAUAGUUUGCUUGAAUGAAUCAGGCCCAAGAAGACUCACGUCAAUCUUAGUAGAAUAUACAAGCAGCUAGCAAAUACAUCAUGCGGAGUCAGGAGGCACGAUGCACUAAGACUGAACAACAGAUCUGCGUGAAAACCUCAAAAUACCGGAUGAGGGUGGCGCCGCCGCCGCCGACGAGUGCAACCCAUGGGGACUCAGCUUAGGACGGCGAGGUGGUGUACGAUGAGCGAUGGCGCGCGGUGGCAGGCGCUAGGCACGGACGCGUCGACGACGGGUAUGACGGCCACUUGCUGCAAGGGUCAAACGAAGUCAAUCUGGGAUAGGAGAGAUGGGAGAGUCCAGGUAAGAGCAAUUGGGUAAGAGAGAGGGCGGAGGUGGGGAGGUGGGGAGAACAAAUGAAACACCUACCACCAAUAGCAUAGAAGAUGAAAUGAAGGACAUCCCAUCUGUUGUAAAACAACCGACAUUUACUCUAC
This 1418-nucleotide long non-coding RNA is filed under the name Triticum aestivum (bread wheat). RNAcentral's name for it is "long non-coding RNA (TAES_LNC023029)". Lineage: Eukaryota; Viridiplantae; Streptophyta; Magnoliopsida; Poales; Poaceae. The record is from RNAcentral.